Molecule: long non-coding RNA, 232 nt
Organism: Rosa chinensis
Lineage: Eukaryota; Viridiplantae; Streptophyta; Magnoliopsida; Rosales; Rosaceae
Exons: 2
Source: RefSeq, a predicted model, not a curated record
CAGUCAUUAACAACUCAGAAUAUUGUUAUUGAAGGCCAAUAUCUUCUGUUUAGUUGAUUCCCCAAGUCAAAAGUGCUAUAGAAUGUAUGUAGGUAAAAUGCAUAUGCUUUUUAUUUCAAAGAUUGUCAAUUUGCUGAGUAGAAAACAGUGAAAUCUGUAAGUUCAUUAAUAUCAUCAUGUUAACUUCACUUUUUAAAAUUUAACAUACCCUAUGUUUUGGCUUGAUGGGAAA